This 118-nucleotide non-coding RNA is filed under the name Streptomyces sp. The record is from RNAcentral. Lineage: Bacteria; Bacillati; Actinomycetota; Actinomycetes; Kitasatosporales; Streptomycetaceae.
AGGCUGACCGGCGCCCGCGGUGACAGGAACCCGGUGUGAUUCCGGGGCGGUUCCGCCACUGUGACGCCGUCGCCGGCCGACGGCUCAGCCAGACACUGGCCGCGGGUCCGUCCGACCG